GAUGAACGCUAGCGGCAGGCCUAAUACAUGCAAGUCGAGGGGUAAAUAUGUAGCAAUAUAUAUGAGACCGGCGCACGGGUGCGUAACACGUAUGCAACCUACCUUUUACUGGGGCAUAGCUCAGAGAAAUCUGAAUUAAUACCCCAUAACACUGCAGAUAGGCAUCUAUUAGCAGUUAAAGCUCCGGCGGUAAAAGAUGGGCAUGCGGAACAUUAGCUAGUUGGUGAGGUAAUGGCUCACCAAGGCUACGAUGUUUAGGGGGUCUGAGAGGAUGAUCUCCCACACUGGUACUGAGACACGGACCAGACUCCUACGGGAGGCAGCAGUAGGGGAUAUUGCACAACGGGCGCAAGCCUGAUGCAGCGACGCCGCGUGGGGGAUGGAGGCUUUCGGGUUGUAAACCCCUUUCGGCGCGGGACGAAGGCUCCGUUUGGCGGGGUUGAGGUACGCGUCAAGAAGCGCCGGCUAACUACGUGCCAGCAGCCGAC
This 488-nucleotide ribosomal RNA is filed under the name uncultured bacterium. Its description in RNAcentral is "bacterial SSU rRNA". It matches the Rfam family "Bacterial small subunit ribosomal RNA", at positions 28 to 518 of the family's 1533-position model. The record is from RNAcentral.